Long non-coding RNA from Lolium rigidum, 5786 nucleotides. RefSeq lists it as uncharacterized. The record is from RefSeq and is a predicted model, not a curated record. The transcript has 2 exons. NCBI's taxonomy places the organism in Eukaryota, Viridiplantae, Streptophyta, Magnoliopsida, Poales, Poaceae.
CUGCAGGCGGUCAAAGCGGCGACGAUAACCAUGUUCUCCGGCCCGACGCGUGCCUUCUCUAUCUCCUCUCUCUUUAUUUAUUUUUUCCACUGAUUCUCGCCAUACUCUCCACCAAUCUCCACCGGAAUCUCGCUGGUUAAUCUCAUCCCUACCCGAUAUCUUCGUUUGCUUGGCCGGCUCUCCCCGCUCGCAUCUCCGGCAGACGGCAGCGAGCUAUAGGAGCAAGUGGAGAGGCUGUGCUCGGAGGGGAGGUGGCGGAUUCAAGUGGAGCAUGCUCAAGAACGAUGACUGAUGAAGAUGCUAUGAUGCGUGGAUCGACGAGAGCGACAUGGAGGGCCGGUUGCCGCCACGAAUUUCCCCCGAUCCUUGGCAGCUUGGGGAAGUCGUAGAGCGACAUGGAGCGGUGGUGACCAUUCUUCUUUUUUUUCUCUUCGUCGCCUAAGGAUGGACGACGAUGCCGAUUUCCCCCGCGGCCGCCGCGACUGGAUGCUGCCUAGCGGACGAUUAAUUCGCUGCAGAGAAGGCGGUUCGGCCCCCGGCGACAUGCGUCGAACCUCUCUAUUUGCACCCUCUUAGACCAGAAGAUCGAGAGAACCAAGAAGCUCUAGAUUUGUUCAGGUCUGCUCCACGGUUCUCCCUGCCUCAGCUCUUCUCUAGCCGAUUCCCUCCUUCCAUGGUGUAUUCUCUUUGUUUCUGUGGCUUCCUCUUUGUUGAUUUGAUUUCCAUGGCUUCUUUUGUGAUUUUGAUUUCUAUUGCUUCUUCUCUCUCAGGAUUUUUUUGUGUCUGUUUCCAUAUUUUGAUCUUGUGGCGUGGCUAUGGUGGUUGUGUCCGGCCGUGUCCGUGCUUGCGGUGGCGUAUGCAUCUGACUCUUCUGAUUUAUUUCAUAGCUCUAUGACCUUGGGCGAUAGCAACCGAUCAAAGGAUUAGCGACGCUCCGUUUCUUCCGAGCUGAGCUUCAGCGCUGUCUGGCUUCUCCGCGGCCGCCGCGCCGGCUGGACCUCCUAGCGCUGCCCGAUCCUCGUGGAGGAUAAAUUCGCGGUGAUGGGUGGCCGGAGCUCCCAUAGCUGCCCCGACACCUGCUGGAAGGCAGAACCGUUUGCCAUGAUGGGCGUCAGGCCGGGGCUCCAUGGUUUAGCGCAGGUGGAGCACAAGCCAUGGACACCGGGGCUGCUCACCAUUAGGUGCCUCACAAUCGCUGCUAAUAUACAGAGCGUCGUCGCAAUAAUCCCAACAGGUUUUGAGUAGCGGAAAGGACAAGGAUGACUGUUGUUGUGUUGGACUCAAGAGCAUCACGGGUGAAAAAUUAAAGUCACGCGAGGUGGCAGAUCUCUAAUGACAUCAGAGAGUAAAUUGAGGUUAGUUAGCCUUUCAGAUUGCAUAGGUUAUGUCAGUCUAGGGCCACUUCUGAAAAUUGUAUAUAUCAUGGUAUCUAUUAUUAGAACAAUUAAUUUAUACACUACUGAAUAAUGUAUAUGACAUUUUUGAUGGAGCAUACGAGCUAUGAAGUUACAUUUCUAAACAUGGUGACAAUUUAUACACUUAAUGGAUACUGCAUUCUCCUUUACGAUUCUUUGUCAUGCUCCCAUUUUUUUUUUUUUGAGAUGUUGGAUAAUACUGCAUUAUCUGUAUUUUUGACGUAGAUCUUUUGCAGUUCAGCAUCAAACAUCUACAUGUGGUUUAAUUGUAGUUUCACCUACUAUUUUGGUGGAAACAAAGAAGAUCAGUUUGUCAUUCGCAGUUUUCUUUAUGUUUUCCUGAUAGAUUUCACGAAGUACUGUCACAGUUUCCUUUAUGUUUGCGCAUAGUAUUAAUAAAUUUGCUCAUAGUAUAAGCUUUUAGAUGGGUGCAGCAAACUAUUAUUUAUUUUCUGUACAUUUUACAUAAUUUAAUUAUACUAUUAAAGGGAUGGGAAUGUAUGUCAAGCAAGCUUAUAAUGUAUUGAUUUAUAUUUAUUUGUCAUCUUUGAUUUAUCAUGUACCAGUAAAUUUGUUGGUAGAUGAUAUACCGUACGGGGCAAGCUCUUGCUUCUUAAGUUUCCAGUGUAUUGUCCAACAUUCGAUACUUUGGGGAGCUCAAAAAGGCGAUCCCAUCCCACACUACCAUUUCUUAUUGCAUGCACCAAAGAAAAUCUAUGAUAGGCAUUAUGUUCAGUUAGCGCUGCUUUGCCAUGUUAGUUUUGUACUCUACAAUUUAUCAUGCUAUUUUUAGCUAUGGAUUUGGAUGAAAAAAUUCCAUAGCAGCUCAAUCUCAUGCAAACAACGAGCCUAUCAAAACCAGAAGUUAAAUGGAAGAAGCUUAAGCUUAACUUCUAAAAGUACCAACUCUUUUAUCAUGUAUGUCAGACAUGUGUUGUACAAUGAAUCAAAAUACACAUUGGGGGAUUCAGCCCUGUAAAUUAUGUUCUCUUAUUAGUUGAGUUCCCACUUAUAAUUUUCUACUGUAGGGAAGUUUAUGAACAUUUUCGUAGAGAUAGCCACUACCUUGUAUCCCAUAGAGAAAGGGACAACACAAGGGCCAAGUAAGUUUUCACGACAGGUGUAGAUGGUUCCCUAAUUUCUCUUGCACUGUUGUAAGAGAGUAACAGUUAUGUUCAUUCCAGUUUCAUACAAUAUAGUUCUUGUGUUCUGUCCUUUGUUUCAUUUUCUUACUUCUUUUUUCAGCAUAUCCCUGCUUAGUUUCUUAUAUUGAGAUCACCCUGCUUAGUAUCUAUAAAUAUGGAAGGUGGAUAUACUUAUGUUUCCAUUUUUGUAUAUACAAUACUCUGAUGGAACAAAUGCCUGAAUGUUAGGUACUGCAAUUUUGAUUUUUGAACUCAGAUGUGAUUGUGACCUUGCCCGGUUUUCUCUCAUCAAAUAUUAUCGACUAUUAGUGUCAACUUUAAUAAUCAAAUUUAAUAUGUUGUUAGUUCUGUUGAUUGCACUCUGCAUGUGAUCUUGGUACUCUACAUUUCGAUAAAUGUACUCAACAACCAACUUUCUUCUGUUCGUAUAAUCCUGCUUUAAAUGAUUAUUGGUAAGGUAAAGUCCUAAAUUUGAGCAUUGUUUCACCAGUAUUACACUAAUACUGCUAACAAAUACGUUAUACAUUGUUUCGCUCUUUUAUUUCUCAAUACAAUACUAGAAGCUAUAGUUCAUAUUACAUAUGUACUACCGGGUUAGCCAAUUGGUAAAAUAUAUCCAUUGGUAUUUACUUCCGGAAUCACAUCAGACCAUUGUCUUGCUCAUUUGGGGCGAUUGGACAUUUUUCCUUAUUUAUCAGUUUGUUUAUUUCAUCUUACUUCUAGAGAUCUCUAAGUUGCUUCAGAAUGUUAGUGUUCUCUUUGUGGCUGCAGUUAAGAUGAUUGUGCUUGCGUAGCUGAUCAAAUUUCUGUGCAGCUAGACUGUUUAGAGGUUCUUUGAUACAUAUAGUCAAGAGAGGAUCUGCUUGCGUAGUUGAUCAAAUUUCCGUGAAGCUAGGCUGUUUAGAGGUUCUUUGAUGCAUAUAGUAAAGAGGAUGUCUCUAGAUGUUCCAUAUUUUAACUUUUGAGUAUUUCGUAUUACUUACAAAGAUUUCUCAUUUUAUUUAGUAUGUGAGCGUUCCUUUUGUGCUUGUAGUUACUUUGUUGAUAGAUCUCCACAGAAAUAGGCCGUUUAGAAGCCUUUUGUUCCUACAGGUAAGAGGAUGUGUCUUUAGGUGUUCCAAAUUUUAACUUCCAUUUUGUUUUGUGCUCACUGGAUAAUAUUCGUUAAGCUACUGCAUAAUUUUGAAGUAACAAUGAUGAAGUGACACUCCAAUACAUAUAAAGUGCAGUGAACAUCUCGAAACAAAACAUUGAUAUAUUGAAUGAACAUAGGGCUCAGCUUCCAUCGGCUGCUUCAGUUCUUGCUUAGCUCGAGUUCAUACAGCGCAAUUGGGGAAGAAUACGGAAGCGGAAAGAGGACACAGAGAUGUGUAUAGUACAGAGGAGAAGGAUACGGACGGUAUUGUAUUUUUACUGAUUUUUUUCUUUUGGAGAAAAUGCAUUCUUACUUGGAAGGACAUAUUAAUGCCUUGCUUCCUGGCAGCAGUUCAAUAGCGCUGCUCUUUUGCUUUCUGGUUCUGUCUUGCGGCUACCAUGGGACAAGUGAUAUCUCCGAUGGUGGGUUUCAGUUCUUGGUGCAUGUGCGUUUGAAUUCGCAGACUUACAAUUACUUCUGGGAAAUAAACAUAGAUUAUGCACAUUGUGUUGUUUUACUCAAAAGAUACUUUUAUAUCUUCUCUUCUUUCAGUUAAGUGCUAUGAGUGUUUGGUCAGCGUAAUGAUUCUGAGUGUUUCAGUAUUUCAUUCUCAAUGGAAUGUAUGCAUUACCUGGGCUGCCAGUCAAGGUAUCUAGACUCCCCAUUUUAUCCUCUCGGUAUAGCCAGGCUAGGAGGAUGGCCAUCGCCACAUCCCCUUAUCUACAUUGUGCGGCACAUAUUGUCCAUGUCUUCGAGUAAACUCGAGCUCCCUGGUCGUUUGUGCCGAAGAACUAGAUGUGAUAUCUCUUUCUAAUUAUGAUUAUCUUAUAUGUGAGUAGAAGAAAUGUAUGGUUAUCUUAGUAAUUAAUGGAUAAAGCUUCCCUGCAAAGCAACAUUCAAUCUACUAUCCACCAAUUAGUCUAAUACUCUAUGCAAUUGGGUAUGGCUUAAUUUUUAGUAGAUAUUUAUUUUCUUAGUUUUUAUUCUAUCCAAAGUAAUAUUUUAAUACUUACAUUGUUAUCAGUUGUCAAGUUGCAAUUCAAAGUCUGGUUUUAUUUGGAGCGGGGCGCCGUCCGUCGAGAUUGCGCGCCAUUGGCAGGUUCAGAGAGGGAAGAUUGAGAGAAUGUGGAAAUAAGAGAAAAAUAAAUAUGGGAUGACCAUGAAAAAAAAUGUAGAAAAAUUACUUAGCCUAUUACCUGGUCCAGUUUCACAUAACGCAUUAAAAAAUGUACUGCCAACUAGACCAUUUCAUUAUCUAACUAGAUGUUAGACGUUCUUUUGUACUCUCCUGGCCCUUCAUACUCCAGUAAUGAUAUGUAAAUGCACCGGCACACUAUGCUCAUUUUGGAUGAAAUCUACAAAGAUCAUAUAGGUAGAGAGGUCACUUUAAUUAGCAAGAUAUGCGUAUGUUAACUUAUGAACAAAAUGAAACCUUAAUUGGGGUAUCUUUGAACAAUCGCCCUGAAGGAGUUGUUCCCAGCUCAGUCCUCAAUGUGUAACUGUCGACCAUUAAAAGUAAUUUGUACACAUAAUAUACACCCAUGCACUUGCAACUAACCAAUAUAAAUUCUCUUUUGCAGCAAUUAAAAGCCAACAAAUCGACUGGAGCAUCCCUUCCUCUUUUGGGCAGAACAAAGUACUUCAUGGCCAUCUCGCCUUUUCCCAUAAUUACUUGAGUUCAUGGCCAUGCAAAUCUGCUCAGAAUUUAGUUAUGGCUGAAGGACUACUUGGUUCGAACAAUUCAUUGCUACGACUGUGCAGUGUUCAGUUGAAUAAAAUGGAUGCUAGAGAUGGAUCAAAGGAAUGUGCAUUCAGCAGAGAGUGGCCCUACUCGGUAGUGCAUCUACCAAAUAAUCAUAUCGCUGCUGCGGCGUGCCGCCGUGAACACCACUGCCACAAGGCCUUUGAGGAUGUCCGCAUCACCUCACAGGAGGCACAAUUUGUUCAUACAGUGCACUAGAUCUUUUGUAAUCGGAGGCACGGAUAGUUUGCAUAGUAUGUUUUCUUUGCCUAUGUAUUACACUAUGUAAAGGGAACAUGUUUCCAGUUAUAAUAUCUAAAUGAUGGAAUGGCAUUGUUUUCCUGCUGUCA